RNAcentral lists this transfer RNA (64 nucleotides) under Agramma hupehanum. Its description in RNAcentral is "tRNA-Arg". Lineage: Eukaryota; Metazoa; Arthropoda; Insecta; Hemiptera; Tingidae. The record is from RNAcentral.
AAGUAUUGAAGUAAAAUUUACUAUUAGUUUCGACCUAAUCAUAGAGAAUAUCAUUUUCUCCUUA